GCGCCUGCGGCGGACCCGGCAGGGACUUUUUCCCGGCUUCGCAGGCAGCCUGCCCCUGUACGGUCCGGUACAUCCCGGAAUUAUCCGGGCUUUAAUGCCUUCU
This 103-nucleotide small RNA is filed under the name bovine gut metagenome. Its description in RNAcentral is "RT-5 RNA". It matches the Rfam family "RT-5 RNA". From Rfam's summary of the family: Clostridium (Firmicutes). The record is from RNAcentral.